CACCCUCAAUCUGCCUCGGUUUCGGCUUCGGCUUCGGCUUCGGCUCCCGCUCCGCCCGAUCGCCAGUCGCCCGAGACCCCACCCCCACCCCGCGUGCGGAGCCCCCUCCUCCCACCCCAAAGCCGGGGCCAGCCGCGCAGCGCGAGCGGGGGCGCGCGGACCGACUGACGCGCGCUGGCCAGCGGGAGCAGCACACUCACACCCAGUCCCCUUAAACACGCAGGCGCGUAGCUGCCCCCGCCAGGCGGGGAUGCCGGAGGAGUCCCCGCGGCCUCCCGCCGCUCUCCCCAAGGGGUCAAGCUGGGGCCAAUCCCAAGCUUGCUUUCUAUCCCCCUCUUACCGCACCCUCCCUUUUCUAGCUCCUCCGACUCCUCUCUCGAUCGGGAGCCACGCCUCCCAAGCUCCAGGAUUUGUUGACCUUCAACCAGAAUAA
This 433-nucleotide long non-coding RNA is filed under the name Monodelphis domestica (gray short-tailed opossum). RNAcentral describes it as "lncRNA (ENSMODG00000037077.1)". The record is from RNAcentral. Lineage: Eukaryota; Metazoa; Chordata; Mammalia; Didelphimorphia; Didelphidae.